AGAGAGACUUUAUCACAGCAGAGCCAUAUCUCAAAAAUCAAAACAAAAACAAAAACCGUUGAAAUAAAGCAGAUAACUUCCUGUGGAACGACAUUCCACGGGAACUACACCAGCCGGACUCCGAGUCGCUGGUGCUAAUCUUACUGCAGAAACAAAACCCAGGCCGGACUGUGCCGAUAGAGAAGACCAGCGAUUGUCUUUUCAUUGGGAUGGUGGUCAACACAAACACAUUAUCUCCGCCGCCGCGGUGCUCUGAGAGCUGUGUCACCUUCCUGCCGCAUGCCCCGAGCUGCUGAAACAAUGGGGAGAGAGAAACCGGACCGCUUCAGUCUGCAAACUUCUGCUGCAACUUCUUGGGUGAAACACGCCGCAGCGAGUCACAUGAGUGGAGGUGCAGUUUCCUCCAAAAGAAGGCGGUCGUCACUUCAGGAGACAAACUACAGGAACCGGGUUCCUCUGAAGCAGACUGUAAAGCAGCGCAUACCCAGCUGAUGCCUCGUAUGGUCGGCGUCUCCCCGGAGAAGCGGUCCGGGAACACUUGGUAGUUGUGACUCCGAAGGAGAUGCAUCUCGGUCUCGGAUGGAGGAAAAAAAUACAAACAAGCGGAAACAAUCGGCAAACAA
Molecule: long non-coding RNA, 623 nt
Organism: Scophthalmus maximus (turbot)
Lineage: Eukaryota; Metazoa; Chordata; Actinopteri; Pleuronectiformes; Scophthalmidae
Exons: 4
Source: RefSeq, a predicted model, not a curated record